AGGGUUUGAUCAUGGCUCAGGAUGAACGCUGGCGGCGUGCUUAACACAUGCAAGUCGAACGAUGAAGCCCAGCCUGCUGGGCGGAUUAGUGGCGAACGGGUGAGUAACACGUGAGUAACCUGCCCUUGACUCUGGGAUAAGCCCGGGAAACUGGGUCUAAUACCGGAUAGGAGCGCCUGUCGCAUGACGGGUGCUGGAAAGAUUUUUCGGUCAUGGAUGGACUCGCGGCCUAUCAGCUUGUUGGUGAGGUAAUGGCUCACCAAGGCGACGACGGGUAGCCGGCCUGAGAGGGUGACCGGCCACACUGGGACUGAGACACGGCCCAGACUCCUACGGGAGGCAGCAGUGGGGAAUAUUGCACAAUGGGCGGAAGCCUGAUGCAGCGACGCCGCGUGAGGGAUGACGGCCUUCGGGUUGUAAACCUCUUUCAGUAGGGAAGAAGCGAAAGUGACGGUACCUGCAGAAGAAGCACCGGCUAACUACGUGCCAGCCGCCGCGGUAAUAC
RNAcentral lists this ribosomal RNA (505 nucleotides) under uncultured bacterium. RNAcentral describes it as "bacterial SSU rRNA". It matches the Rfam family "Bacterial small subunit ribosomal RNA", at positions 8 to 526 of the family's 1533-position model. The record is from RNAcentral.